RNAcentral lists this ribosomal RNA (253 nucleotides) under uncultured bacterium. RNAcentral's name for it is "partial 16S ribosomal RNA". It matches the Rfam family "Bacterial small subunit ribosomal RNA", at positions 524 to 776 of the family's 1533-position model. The record is from RNAcentral.
UACGGAGGGUGCAAGCGUUGUCCGGAUUUAUUGGGUUUAAAGGGUGCGUAGGCGGCUAAUUAAGUCAGCGGUGAAAUUCCACAGCUCAACUGUGGAACUGCCAUUGAUACUGGUUGGCUUGAGUACAGAUGAGGUAGGCGGAAUUGACAGUGUAGCGGUGAAAUGCUUAGAUAUUGUCAAGAACACCUAAUGCGAAGGCAGCUUACUAAGCUGUAACUGACGCUGAGACACGAAAGCGUGGGGAGCAAACAGG